GCCCCCUCCCCCCCUCGCGGGAGAAAGCGCGGGAAAGUCGUUCUGACUCAAAAUUCGCCUAAAUUCGAGUAAAAACGGGGCGGAGUUAUUAUUAAUAACGCUGACGAAACGCCGCUGGAGUAAAGCACCGCGGAAACACUGCCGGAGUGACACACUGCUGUUGUUUGUGGCGAUUCCACCCCUCCAACGCGCCUGCGGCCGCCCCCGGCCUCACUGAAAACCAACGCCCUGAAACUUAAACGCUGGGGUUUUUUUUAAUGUUUGCCAACAUUUCUGCUCCCGAGUGAGCGUGGAUUAAGCAGUUCUCCAAACACCGGUGUCCCAGCAGCAGAUGGAGAUGCACAGCCCAUUGCCCAGCCCUGGCUGAACUCCCUAAGAAAU
Corapipo altera (White-ruffed manakin) is the source of this 381-nucleotide long non-coding RNA. RefSeq lists it as uncharacterized. NCBI's taxonomy places the organism in Eukaryota, Metazoa, Chordata, Aves, Passeriformes, Pipridae. The transcript has 2 exons. The record is from RefSeq and is a predicted model, not a curated record.